AUACGUAGGGUGCGAGCGUUGUCCGGAAUUAUUGGGCGUAAAGAGUACGUAGGUGGUUGCGUAAGCGCAAGGUGAAAGACCGAGGCUUAACUUCGGUGAGCCUUGUGAACUGCGUGACUUGAGUGCAGGAGGGGAAAGUGGAAUUCCUAGUGUAGCGGUGAAAUGCGUAGAUAUUAGGAGGAACACCAGUGGCGAAGGCGACUUUCUGGACUGUAACUGACACUGAGGUACGAAAGCGUGGGGAGCAAACAGGAUUAGAUACCCUGGUAGUCCACGCCGUAAACGAUGAGCACUAGGUGUUGGCGUAGAAAUACGUCGGUGCCGAAGUUAACGCAUUAAGUGCUCCGCCUGGGGAGUACGCACGCAAGUGUGAAACUCAAAUGAAUUGGCGGGG
This 394-nucleotide ribosomal RNA is filed under the name uncultured bacterium. RNAcentral describes it as "partial 16S ribosomal RNA". It matches the Rfam family "Bacterial small subunit ribosomal RNA", at positions 523 to 918 of the family's 1533-position model. The record is from RNAcentral.